AAUUUCCGAUAGGUGAAGACUCCUGGAAUGGAUUUUUGCCGAAAGGGCGCCUAGGGCAUGCUUCUAGGUGUUGCUCAAGGAUGGGGCCGCGGCCGAUCAGGUUGUUGGUGAGGUAAUGGCUCACCAAGCCUUUAACCGGUACGGGCCGUGGGAGCGGUAGCCCGGAGAUGGGCACUGAGACAAGGGCCCAAGCCCUACGGGGCGCAGCAGUCGCGAAAACUUCGCAAUAAGCGAAAGCUUGACGGGGCCAUCCCGAGUGCCAUCUGCUGAGGAUGGCUUUUACCCAGUAUAGAUAGCUGGGGGAAUAAGGAGAGGGCAAGUCUGGUGUCAGCCGCCGCGGUAAUACCAGCUCUCCGAGUUGUGGGGACGUUUAUUGAGCCUGAAGCAUCCGUAGCCGGCUGUGCAAGUCCUCUGUUAAAUCCAGCGAUAAAUCGUUGGCCUGCGGGGGAUACUGCUCGGCUAGGGGGCGGGAGAGGCCGUCGGUAUUCUUGGGGUAGGGGUGAAAUCCUAUAAUCCCAGGAGGACCACCAGUGGCGAAGGCUGUCGGCUAGAACGCGCUCGACGGUGAGGGAUGAAAGCUGGGGGAGCGAACCGGAUUAGAUACCCGGGUAGUCCCAGCUGUAAACGAUGCAGGCUAGGUGUUAGGGCGGCUACGUGCCGCUCUAGUGCCGCAGGGAAGCUGUUAAGCCUGCCGCUUGGGGAUACGNCCGGAAGGCUGAACUUAAAGGCCA
This 731-nucleotide ribosomal RNA is filed under the name uncultured soil archaeon. RNAcentral describes it as "bacterial SSU rRNA". It matches the Rfam family "Archaeal small subunit ribosomal RNA", at positions 148 to 865 of the family's 1478-position model. The record is from RNAcentral.